Molecule: long non-coding RNA, 2754 nt
Organism: Corvus hawaiiensis (hawaiian crow)
Lineage: Eukaryota; Metazoa; Chordata; Aves; Passeriformes; Corvidae
Exons: 4
Source: RefSeq, a predicted model, not a curated record
UGUUGGAAAAAAAGGAAAGCAAAGCAGCUGGGAGGGAUUAGGCUGAGCUGGCGUCUGCACUUUCAACUGAUUCAAUUUUGCUCCACAAGACAUUGUAUCUGAGCCUUUCUGGAGACUAUUCAAAGCAAAUCAUUUUCAUUUUACCAUUUGGAAGUGCCGUGGGGAUCCCAAGACAUGGGGAUUGACGGGGGCAUGGAGGGGCAUGGGGUGAUCUGACCCUGCCACCCAGAGCACUUUGGCCAUGCUGCAAAAUAGGUGCAGCCCCUGUCUGAAGUGAAAAGUUCUGCUGCAUCUAAGCCCAGGGGCUGAGGACCUGACUCCAGAAAGUCUCUGUUCAGAUCACCAACCUGCACCCUCAGGCAGUAAACCCGACAGUGAGGCAGGACCUGGCAUGGGCUCAGCCUGCCAGGGGAGUAUUGCAGAGGAGAGCGUGCCACGUGGAGCAGCAGCUCAUCAGGCCAACAGAAAUCCACACACAUCUGUUCAGCAGCACCCAGCUCCAGUGCAAAAUGGAAAGUUGGACAGAAAAGAAGCCUCUGGACCACAUCCCAUGCCGAGGGUGGUGUGCUGAGGAGAGGAACAUGUGAGCCAGACCAUGAGGAUGGAGCCUUGCUCAGGCCUCUGCACCCAGGGGAGACCCAGGACUCUGUGAAUCCCAGGACACACCAGGGCCAGGCACAAUGAACAACGGUGAAAAACAGUGAAUAUUCCAGCAGGAAAUUGAUCAUGUUUGGGAUGAACCUUGAUCCCACACCGAUACUGAUGGUGCUGGGAAAUGACAUUAGUCCUUCUGAUGGGAGUGAAACCAGUCCAUUUCCAGCAUGUGCCAUAUGAUGGUGCCUUCCUUGACUCUCAGCACUGCUCAUGCUGAGAGCAGACACAUUUUCCCUAGGGAAAACAGACUCAAAAUAUCCGUUUGUUCCAAGAAAAUAAUUCAGUGCCUCUAAAGGGUAUCUGGUUCUGUGACUUGAAGUCUCUCUUGUAGUCACCUGCUCCACCAUUACUGUUCAGUGUGUUAUCCUGGAGGUCCAGGAAGAGCAAAUACACGUGAAUAAAUGGAAUGGCGAAACAAAAUCCAUCUAUAAUUAUGAUAUCAGAGCAGCACAAAGUCUUUUUGAUGUCAUCCAGCAGCUCACUGAAAUCUUUAAGAGAUUUUGUGCUGUGAGAAAGAACAAGCACAGGAGGAAAGCACUGUCAGCAAGAAGGAGGUGACAUUGGGGCUGUCACCCUGUGGAACCCUCCAUUGUCUUCACACCAGGUGCUGGCUGGAAGGGGGAUUGUCUGUGGUCCCCAUCCCCAAUGCACUUUUGGAGAAGGCACAGGUGCCAGGCAAGGCAGGAGCCCCUGGGUGCUGAUGGCAUGGGGAUGCUCAUCCCAAGGGAGCAGCCUGGGGUUUCCCCAGUGCCCACCCAGGCAGGCAGGAUCUGCAGCUCUGCAGGAACCCUCACCCCUGCCCUUGUGUGGGACCCAAACCCCUGACCCACUCAGUCUAGAACUGAACCAGUGACUUCCUGGCCCAAAGGCAAGAACACUCUCAACCAAGUCAGCCUGAACUGAUUAUUUUUAAAUUACGUUUGCUAAAAGCAAGAACGAGCAGAAGAGUUGGGGGAAGCAGGGAGUCACAUUGCUCUAAUCAUCUACAUUUCAGUGACAGCUUUACUGCUUUUAUUUCAAGUCAGCUUGGCAAAAGCCCUUUAUCAAGAGCUCUCCUGCAGCAUGUGUUUCAAGUCCAUAGUAGGAUUUUGGAUGUGACACAUCACUGGGCUGCGAGAGGGCAGGAAGGAGCACGACCUCCCUCGAGUGCUCACAGAAAAUAAGUCCAAGCCAUUCUGGACAGGGUUCUUGGCUUGACAUGACCUAAAAGGGUUUCUUUUUAAACUUCCAUUUGAUGUUAAACAAAGCACCACAAAACUGAUUAAGAGCUUUUGCCCACCUAUAUAAUACUUUAAGCUCUGUGUGCCAUUAGAAUACUUUUAGCGGCACAUGUGAUGAGCCUACCAAGGAGGUGUAGAGGAUCUACAGCCUGGAUUAUUAUAAAAGUGGGCAAGGAAAGAAAAGAAAAUUUUUCCUCUACUGGAAGCAGUUCAUCCAGACCUUUCCCUGCUAAACAACAUCUGACAUUUGUAGACAGUGCUGUCUGCCCACAGCCCACCUGCUCUAGUGGGACGGGGUUGGUUGUUCAUGUUCUGAGCACAAACUGGAGAUAAAACAAUAUCUCCGCUGCCUUCAGUGCCUGGCUGUUCCUCCCCUGCCAUCCAGGAUGGGUCAGGAUGAGAGACAGGAGUCUGCAAUCAUCUCUCACCUCUAAACCUGCUAAGUUUGGUACGAAUUCCUGGAGGAGCCAGCAGAGGCCUUUCCUGCUUCCCUGCACACCUCUCUGGCAGGCGCAGCCUGGGACUAGCAGGGGAGCAAAAGCCAUUCAGGCCCCAAAAUCAGGCGACGUUUUUGCCAGGUUAUGUCAUGACAUUGGGCAAGUUUGGGCUGGGGCACAUGGUCAUGAAGAAAACCAGCCACCCAGAGCUGGGGGUGACAGGGGGGCCAUAAAACUCUCCCAGCAACUGCAGGCGGGCCAGUGCCUCCCAUGCAGGACCAUCAACUCAUUUGGGGCUGCCAAGGCUUCUUCGGGUGCUUCAGGAACUGCUGCAGAGUUCUGUGAGCUCUUAUUAAGAAGGAGCUUUGUGGUUCACAGUCUGCACAAGCAGUAAACUACAUCGGAAUUAAUCCCAAAUAUAUUUUUAAAAAGCAGAAAAGUUG